RNAcentral lists this ribosomal RNA (199 nucleotides) under uncultured bacterium. RNAcentral's name for it is "partial 16S ribosomal RNA". It matches the Rfam family "Bacterial small subunit ribosomal RNA", at positions 326 to 539 of the family's 1533-position model. The record is from RNAcentral.
ACGCUCGACACCUACGGGAAGCAGCAGUGGGGAAUAUUGCACAAUGGGGGAAACCCUGAUGCAGCGACGCCGCGUGAGUGAAGAAGUAUUUCGGUAUGUAAAGCUCUAUCAGCAGGGAAGAAAAUGACGGUACCUGACUAAGAAGCCCCGGCUAACUACGUGCCNGCAGCCGCGGUAAUCUGAGGCGGGCUGGCAAGGC